This 1243-nucleotide ribosomal RNA is filed under the name metagenome. Its description in RNAcentral is "SSU rRNA". It matches the Rfam family "Eukaryotic small subunit ribosomal RNA", at positions 174 to 1440 of the family's 1831-position model. The record is from RNAcentral.
GUCUCUGCUCUUCGGGGCAGAGCGCAGUUAUUAGACCAAAACCAGCCGUAUCUUUCGGGGUACGCUCUUUUGGUGACUCUGGAUAACCUUCAGCCGAUCGCAUGGCCUCGUGCCGGCGACGUAUCUUUCAAGUGUCUGCCCUAUCAACUUUCGAUGGUACGUGAUAUGCCUACCAUGGUGAUAACGGGUAACGGGGAAUCAGGGUUCGGUUCCGGAGAGGGAGCCUGAGAAAUGGCUACCACAUCCAAGGAUGGCAGCAGGCGCGCAAAUUACCCACUCCCAGCUUGGGGAGGUAGUGACGAAAAAUAACAAUGCGGGACUCUAAGAGGCCCCGUAAUUGGAAUGAGUACACCUUAAAUCGUUUAACGAGUAUCAAUUGGAGGGCAAGUCUGGUGCCAGCAGCCGCGGUAAUUCCAGCUCCAAUAGCGUAUAUUAAAGUUGCUGCAGUUAAAAAGCUCGUAGUUGGAUCUGGGGCUUGAGGUCGCUGUCUAUCGUUUCGGCGAUGACGGUGAUGCUCAGCUCUGCUUGCCGGUGACUGUUGCGGUGUUCAUAAUUGAGCGCUGUAGCAGCACGGCACGUUUACUUUGAAAAAAUUAGAGUGCUCAAAGCGUGCUUGUCGCUUGAAUAAUGUUGCAUGGAAUAAUGGAAUAGGACCUCGGUUCUAUUUUGUUGGUUUUCGGAGCUUGAGGUAAUGAUUAAGAGGGACGAACGGGGGCAUUCGUAUUGCGGUGUUAGAGGUGAAAUUCUUGGAUCGCCGCAAGACGGACUACUGCGAAAGCACUUGCCAAGAACGCUUUCAUUAAUUAAGAACGAAAGUCAGAGGUUCGAAGACGAUCAGACACCGUCCUAGUUCUGACCAUAAACGAUGCCGACCAGCGAUCCGUAGUGGUUGCUUUAUGGACCCUACGGGCAGCCUCCGGGAAACCAAAGUAUUUGGGUUCCGGGGGAAGUAUGGUUGCAAAGCUGAAACUUAAAGGAAUUGACGGAAGGGCACACCAGGAGUGGAGCCUGCGGCUUAAUUUGACACAACACGGGAAAACUCACCCGGUCCGGACACCGUAAGGAUUGACAGACUGAUAGCUCUUUCUUGAUUCGGUGGAUGGUGGUGCAUGGCCGUUCUUAGUUGGUGGAGUGAUUUGUCUGGUUAAUUCCGAUAACGAACGAGACUCUAGCCUGCUAAGUAGUGUGUCUAUUGUGAUAUGGUAUACACUUCUUAGAGGGACAAGUGGCAUUUAGCCACGCG